Molecule: long non-coding RNA, 654 nt
Filed under: Equus caballus (horse)
Lineage: Eukaryota; Metazoa; Chordata; Mammalia; Perissodactyla; Equidae
Description: lncRNA (ENSECAG00000052711.1)
Source: RNAcentral
CGAUAAAAGGCACAGAGCCUCGCAGGACCGCGGAGGAGCGAGUGCCACCUGGGCUCCCUCUUCAUCCUCAUCCCUGCAGGGAAAUGUCAAGAUCGCUAAGUAUCGGACCAUUCUGACCUGCGUUACGUUGAACAAACGCUCCACAUGUUUCUCAUAAAAAUAUACAUCAGAGAUGGCUUCGAACCGAACGUCAAACUUAAUUAAAGAGCUAUAAUGCACAGAUUGAGUUUCAUGCUUCAAGUAUCCAACGAAGGACAAUGGGCCACUCUACGAAAUAUCUAGAGAAGGAAGUGUAUUCGUGUGGAUUUCUUCUGACUCCAUUCCUAGUCAAGUAUUUUAAUUACUUAGAAGCUUUAGUAUCCCAUCGAAUGAGGACAGCAUAAAAACUUUUAAAAAUGAUCAGGCUGGGCAUAUCAAUAUUUAUUGAAAUACUGAAAAAAAAUUCCAUUUUGUUGAGAAAUUCCUGGCAAGAACUGACAUGACAAUAUGUAUUUCACUGACACAGGAAGGAAACGUCAACAAGUAACCGACUUCACACUUUAAACAUUGCAUGGACUCAGAUCCCAGGUAGCUGCAGAAGAUAUGUAAUACAAAUAUUCAGACAUUACAGUUUGUCUGUUUACACAGACCAACGAUAAUAAACAAAGCUAAGCC